UACGUAGGGGGCAAGCGUUGUCCGGAUUUAUUGGGCGUAAAGAGCGUGUAGGCGGUUAGGUACGGUCCGUUGUGAAAACUCGAGGCUCAACCUCGAGACGCCGAUGGAAACCAUCUAACUAGAGUCCGGAAGAGGAGAGUGGAAUUCCCGGUGUAGCGGUGAAAUGCGCAGAUAUCGGGAAGAACACCCGUGGCGAAGGCGGCUCUCUGGGACGGUACUGACGCUGAGACGCGAAAGCGUGGGGAGCGAACAGG
RNAcentral lists this ribosomal RNA (254 nucleotides) under uncultured bacterium. RNAcentral describes it as "partial 16S ribosomal RNA". It matches the Rfam family "Bacterial small subunit ribosomal RNA", at positions 524 to 776 of the family's 1533-position model. The record is from RNAcentral.